RNAcentral lists this ribosomal RNA (253 nucleotides) under uncultured bacterium. RNAcentral's name for it is "partial 16S ribosomal RNA". It matches the Rfam family "Bacterial small subunit ribosomal RNA", at positions 524 to 776 of the family's 1533-position model. The record is from RNAcentral.
UACGGAGGGUGCAAGCGUUAUCCGGAAUUACUGGGUUUAAAGGGUGCGUAGGCGGCUUGAUAAGUCAGGGUUGAAAGCCUAUCGCUUAACGAUAGAAUUGCCUUUGAUACUGUAAAGCUUGAAAGGGGUUGAGGUCAGCAGAAUGUGGCAUGUAGCGGUGAAAUGCAUAGAUAUGCCAUAGAACACCGAUUGCGAAGGCAGCUGACUGGGCCUACUUUGAAGCUGAGGCACCAAAGCGUGGGGAGCGAACAGG